CGCGGCCUAUCAGCUUGUUGGUGAGGUAACGGCUCACCAAGGCAUCGACGGGUAGCUGGUCUGAGAGGAUGAUCAGCCACACUGGGACUGAGACACGGCCCAGACUCCUACGGGAGGCAGCAGUAGGGAAUAUUGCACAAUGGGCGAAAGCCUGAUGCAGCAACGCCGCGUGCGGGAAGAAGGCCCUAGGGUUGUAAACCCCUUUCAGCAGGGACGAAAAUGACGGUACCUGCAGAAGAAGCUCCGGCCAACUACGUGCCAGCAGCCGCGGUAAUACGUAGGGAGCGAGCGUUGUCCGGAAUUAUUGGGCGUAAAGAGCUCGUAGGCGGUUCAGUAAGUCGGGUGUGAAAACUCAAGGCUCAACCUUGAGACGCCACUCGAUACUGCUGUGACUUGAGUCCGGUAGAGGAGUGUGGAAUUCCUGGUGUAGCGGUGAAAUGCGCAGAUAUCAGGAGGAACACCAGCGGCGAAGGCGGCACUCUGGGCCGGUACUGACGCUGAGGAGCGAAAGCAUGGGGAGCAAACAGGAUUAGAUACCCUGGUAGUCCACGCCGUAAACGUUGGGCACUAGGUGUGGGUCUCAACCAACGAGAUCCGCGCCGUCGCUAACGCAUUAAGUGCCCCGCCUGGGGAGUACGG
RNAcentral lists this ribosomal RNA (639 nucleotides) under uncultured Actinomycetes bacterium. RNAcentral's name for it is "bacterial SSU rRNA". It matches the Rfam family "Bacterial small subunit ribosomal RNA", at positions 232 to 885 of the family's 1533-position model. The record is from RNAcentral. Lineage: Bacteria; Bacillati; Actinomycetota; Actinomycetes.